CAAACCUGCAUGACUCACGCCCAAAGAAUGCUGUGGAAUUCACCGGGAGCUUUCUGGAAGCCGGCGCUGGAGGGGACGAAGAGGCGGGCUCAGUGCCACCAGCCCGACCACUGCUGGCGUAGCUGGAACAAGCUAGAAAUGGACAAAAACAGUCCGUGCCAUGCUCACCUCCAACCCACAAUCCUCCCAUCUCUUCCCAUUCUCCAUCAACCUGGGAUGCUGCUUACUGAAGAUGGUAACAUCGCAGGACAGAAGAAGACUGGAUUCCCCCAGCCAACGUUUGUAAGAACCAGCUAACCUGCAGUGGAUUGUGAAAUUCAUGAGAAAUGAACUACUGCUGUCUGUCCUUGAAGUCUUGAAGUUACUUAUCGGAGCUAGUGCUACUUGCUCUAACUACUACAGAAACUCUUGAAAUGGGAUGCCACAAUAACAAAAACAUAAAUAUGUGGCAUUGCUUAGCAACAUGCUAAAGGGCAUUUGUUGGAUAGAAUCAAAGUGAGAGUGUAUGUUCUCUGCUAUUGGUUGUAUUUGGCAAAGCAAUCUAAGAAAAAAGAUGGGCUCAGCAGAAGUGGAUGGUUUGCAAAGAGAAAUGAAGGGGAAUAGAGAGAGUUUAGAAAAUUUAAGCCUAAUAGGGAAGAAAACACCAAGGGCUUCUCAAUCCCAAGUGGCAGAAAAGCCCCAUCAAGACCCAGCCUUGGUGAAAAGAUCAGAUUUAAGGAUAUGACAUUCCCAGUCAAGUCUUGUAGCAUCCAAGUAGCAACCUGCCCCUUGGGAGAUAGAAAGAAGCACAGGGGACAGAAACAAGGAAAUAAAGCAGGUUUGGAAACUAUGUCUAGGAAAAACUCUAGGUGUGGUCACUAGCCCAUGGAAUCGACUAGAAGUAAAUGGAUAAGACUUUGCUAAAAUUUGAGUGACUUUGAUCAUAUAUAAACAGACACCCAAAAACCCAAAACCAACCGAAUACAUAAAAACCCAUAUGCCCAGACUUUCACCUUUUAUCUCCACUAUUAGAGCGGUAAAAUAACCCUGCUCCAGAAGGAAGUGUGCUGGGAGAACUGAACAACCUCAGGGAAGACUCAGCCCCCAGCACCCACUUCAGAUGUAUUCAAAACAGAUAGUGGGCCAGGAAAAGCUUUCUAAAGAGCAUAGCCUAGGGUUUAAUAAGCAAGAGAGAUCCUCCAGAGAGCUGAACAAGGCCCUAAACAAAGACCUGCCCCCAUCCCAGGGUUAGGGGCCUUUACAGAAUCUGGGAGGGUCUCAAAAUAUCCAAAGACCUUUAGCUACUCUGUCUCUCUCUCUCUUCCCUUUUCCAAAUGGGUGUUUUUACUUGGUUAUCUGAUCCAUGCUGCUCCAUGUGAGACUGGAGCUACGUCAGAUCUAAGGAAAUACAGAAUCACAGGGAGGCCCUGGACUGUGAGCUGCUGGGAUGUGGGGUUGAACCCCACACCACCCCCGGUGGGGAGAAUGAGCUUUAUGUGUGAAGGCAAGGAAGCAAACCAGUAUUUGGUGGCUGGGGGGGUGAACUGUGCAGAGAAUGCCAGAGCCCACUGAUCUUGCUUCAUUCUCCAUCCAUAGCCCAUGGCUCACUCUGUUUUCAACCCCUUGCUGUUAGGCAGGCUCUGGCCAGUGAAAUAUGGGUCAAAGUGCUUUACACCAGCCCAACCCAUAAAAUCCUCCGAUGCAGGGCCCUCCAUCCUUUCUUUCCUUUUGCAACAACCUUAGAGCCCCAUGUUGAAGACAGUGGUAAAACAAGAUGGGAGGUCCCUGGGUCCCUGAGUCACAAUGUGGAAGAGAACUGCCCAACCCAUCCAGGACUGUGAUGUGAGUGAGAAAUAAACUUUUGUUGUAUUAAGAUAGUGGGAUAUAGGGGUUGUCACAGCAGCAAGUGUUACUUACACUGACUAGUGUCAGGAUAGGGAAUGCCUAUAUUUAUUUAGAAAAUAUACCAAAUAAGAGAAGCUACCAGAGAAAGAGAAGUCAAAGAAGCUUAGAAGAACCAGGAGUAUGUAGGAUCAGAGAAACCAGGGAAGAAAAGAGCUUCAAGAAGAAACUGCUAAUGGUGUUUGUGAUGGUUAAUUUUACAUGUCAAUUUCGCUAGGCCAUGGUACUCAGGCAUUUGUUCAAGCAUUAUUUUGUUGUUGUUGUUGUUGUUCAAACAUUAUUUUAGAUGAAGGUGUUUUUUCAGUUGAGAUUAACAUUCAAGUCAGUAGACUUUGACUCCAUCAGAUUCUCCUCCAUCCUGUGGCGGGCCUUAUCUAGUCAGUUGAAGACCUUAAUAGAAAAUAGAAACUGACCUCCCCCAAAGAAAGAGAAUUCUGUCAGUAGACUGACUUUGGACUUAGACUGCAACAUUAACUCUUCCUGGGUCUCCAGUCUCCUGGUUAUUUGUUCUGUUUCUUUGGAGAACCCUGACUAAUACAGUGUUAAGUCUACAAAAUGAUUGAAGAGGAUACAAGUUUCAAAAAGGCUAUUAUUGGGGCGCCUGGGUGGCUCGGUGGAUUAAAGCCUCUGCCUUCGGCUCAGCUCAUGAUACCAGGGUCCUGGGAUCAAGCCCCGCAUCGGGCUUUCUGCUCAGCAAGGAGUCUGCUUCUCCCACUCUCUCUGCCUGCCUCUCUGCCUCCUUGUGAUCUCUCUCUCUCUCUGUGUCAAAUAAAUAAAUAAAAUCUUUAAAAAAAAAAAAAAGGCUAUUAUUCUGGCAACUAAGAGGAAGGAAGCAAUUUUAACAAACUUUGGGGUUUGGAGUUACAACCAAAGAAGGAAAAGUGGAAGCAAUGUCCUAAUGCUGUUGAAGAACAGGAUGGGAGAGGAAGCGCUCAAAGGCACAGAGGGAGGAAUUGAGCUUUAGGAGAAAGAGAUGUUUAGUGCCUGAAGUAGAAAAGACAAAAGCAAGUUCUG
Molecule: long non-coding RNA, 2895 nt
Organism: Mustela lutreola (European mink)
Lineage: Eukaryota; Metazoa; Chordata; Mammalia; Carnivora; Mustelidae
Exons: 3
Source: RefSeq, a predicted model, not a curated record